RNAcentral lists this long non-coding RNA (354 nucleotides) under Pan troglodytes (chimpanzee). RNAcentral's name for it is "lncRNA (ENSPTRG00000053338.1)". Lineage: Eukaryota; Metazoa; Chordata; Mammalia; Primates; Hominidae. The record is from RNAcentral.
GCCAGCUAUCUCGAUGAGAGUUUGAAGAUCUACAUUGAAAUCUUUUACCUAAGAAACUUAGUCCUUACCCAUAAACCCAGGAGAAGAGGGGGAGCACGCAUCGGAGCUAGUAAAUAUAGAAAAAGUCAAACAUUCCUCAUCAGGGCCUCUGAAGAAACCAAAGAAACCAAAAAAACACCAAGGGAGAAAAUGUCCACUGAAACACGUGCCUGCCUGGGUGUGAGGAUAUCCUAUGACAGUCACUGUCGCUCAGGCAGCUGCCAGGCUGUUGCAGGACCCAGGUGGAAGAGAGAGGGAGGAGCUACGCCUUUGACUGAAUUUGGAACCUUUCAUUAUUACAAUUUCUGAAUUGAG